GAAAUGCGAUACGUAAUGCGAAUUGCAGAUUUUCGUGAAACAUCAAAUCUUUGAACGCAACUUGCGCUCUGGGGAAACCUGGAGCAUGCCUCUCUGAGUGUCGUUACAACCAACCUCGGCUGCGACCUGUUAAAAAGGGUUCGCUGAGUCCGGAUAGUGAGAGUCAUUAAGAGCCUUUUUUUUAAGGCAACUUUGGUGUCUCUUUAAGUUGAUGCUUUAUAUAAAACAGCUCUUAGCUUGAUGUUAUCCAUCUGGCUGAUGCCUGAUAACUGACCUCUUUUGGUCAUUCUCUGCAUCUGGCUUGGGAUAUAUUAAGAAUUUGUUGGCUGUUUAAUUAGCCUCAAAAAAGGAAAAUUAACUUUUUUAUUCGCGAUCUCAGAUGAAGCAAGAUUACCCGCCG
RNAcentral lists this unclassified non-coding RNA (400 nucleotides) under uncultured fungus. RNAcentral describes it as "sequence contains ITS1". The stretch from base 1 to 103 matches the Rfam family "5.8S ribosomal RNA", at positions 50 to 154 of the family's 154-position model. The record is from RNAcentral. Lineage: Eukaryota; Fungi.